AGUGAACGCUGGCGGUAGGCCUAACACAUGCAAGUCGAACGGCAGCACAGUAAGAGCUUGCUCUUACGGGUGGCGAGUGGCGGACGGGUGAGGAAUACAUCGGAAUCUACUUUUUCGUGGGGGAUAACGUAGGGAAACUUACGCUAAUACCGCAUACGACCUACGGGUGAAAGCAGGGGAUCUUCGGACCUUGCGCGAUUGAAUGAGCCGAUGUCGGAUUAGCUAGUUGGCGGGGUAAAGGCCCACCAAGGCGACGAUCCGUAGCUGGUCUGAGGGGAUGAUCAGCCACACUGGAACUGAGACACGGCCCAGACUCCUACGGGAGGCAGCAGUGGGGAAUAUUGGACAAUGGGCGCAAGCCUGAUCCAGCCAUACCGCGUGGGUGAAGAAGGCCUUCGGGUUGUAAAGCCCUUUUGUUGGGAAAGAAAAGCAGCAGGUUAAUACCCCGCUGUUCUGACGGUACCCAAAGAAUAAGCACCGGCUAACUUCGUG
This 492-nucleotide ribosomal RNA is filed under the name uncultured bacterium. RNAcentral describes it as "partial 16S ribosomal RNA". It matches the Rfam family "Bacterial small subunit ribosomal RNA", at positions 29 to 507 of the family's 1533-position model. The record is from RNAcentral.